Molecule: ribosomal RNA, 253 nt
Filed under: uncultured bacterium
Lineage: Bacteria
Description: partial 16S ribosomal RNA
Rfam family: Bacterial small subunit ribosomal RNA
Source: RNAcentral
UACGUAGGUGGCGAGCGUUAUCCGGAUUUACUGGGUGUAAAGGGCGUGUAGGCGGGAUUGCAAGUCAGAUGUGAAAACUAUGUGCUCAACCCAUAGCCUGCAUUUGAAACUGUAGUUCUUGAGUGCUGGAGAGGCAAUCGGAAUUCCGUGUGUAGCGGUGAAAUGCGUAGAUAUACGGAGGAACACCAGUGGCGAAGGCGGAUUGCUGGACAGUAACUGACGCUGAGGCGCGAAGGCGUGGGGAGCAAACAGG